Molecule: ribosomal RNA, 301 nt
Filed under: uncultured bacterium
Lineage: Bacteria
Description: partial 16S ribosomal RNA
Rfam family: Bacterial small subunit ribosomal RNA
Source: RNAcentral
CAGUAGCCACGGUAAUACAGAGGGUGCGAGCGUUAAUCGGAUUUACUGGGCGUAAAGCGUGCGUAGGCGGCUUUUUAAGUCGGAUGUGAAAUCCCUGAGCUUAACUUAGGAAUUGCAUUCGAUACUGGGAAGCUAGAGUAUGGGAGAGGAUGGUAGAAUUCCGGGUGUAGCGGUGAAAUGCGUAGAGAUCUGGAGGAAUACCGAUGGCGAAGGCAGCCAUCUGGCCUAAUACUGACGCUGAGGUACGAAAGCAUGGGGAGCAAACAGGAUUAGAUACCCCCGUAGUCCCUGUCUCUUAUAC